CUUAGCUUUAUUAGGAUGAUGAUGUAUCGGAUUCUACAACUUGAAGAUUAUAGUAAGAGCUGGAGAAAUUUUAGCUUUGUACUACCCUCUUGUUUAAAAGGAAGCUCUGGUUCCUCUAUUAUUAAAUGCACUUUGUGCGCACAUUUCAGGGCUUCAAAAGAGUUCUCAGAUGUACAUGGGCUCAUCAUGCAUGCUUACAGCUCACAGAAUCCAGACCUGCGUGUUGAUCAUCUUGGGUUACAUAAGGCCAUGUGUGUUCUUAUGGGAUGGGACUACACGAAGGCACCUGAAAACUCUAAGGCAUACCAGUCGUUAUCUGCUGCUGAUGCAUCAGCAAAUAGGGAUGAUUUGGUUAUGUGGCCACCUGUGGUCAUAAUCCAUAACACGAAUUCUGGAAAAAGAAAAGAUGGCCGCAUGGAGGGCAUGGGUAAUAAGGAAAUGGAUUUGAAACUAAAAGAUCUAGACUUUGCUGGUGGCAAGUCGAAGUCUAUGUAUGGUAAGGAGGGUCAUUUGGGCAUCACGUUGGUGAAAUAUGCCAACACUCAGGCUGGGUUGAAGGAAGCUGAGCGACUGGCAGAUUACUUUGAGAAGGACAACCGGGGAUGCAAAGGCUGGGCUAGGGCGCAAGCUUAUCAGUCAGGGGCCGACGAGGAGAAGAACCCUGCCCUUGUGGAGGUCGACCCAAAGAGCGGUGAGAAGAAGAGGAUCUUCUAUGGGUAUUUGGCAACAGCUUCUGAUCUUGACAAGGUUGAUUCUGAUACCAAGAAGAAGGCUGUUAUUAAGAGUAGGAGGGAGUUUGAUUCAUCAGAAUAGGUAUAUGAUCAAGCAAUGCUUGCUCUCUUUUAGAUGGACUGGUCAAUCAAUUUCCAUGUUGGUGGUUUGAAUUGGCUAGCACUUUUAACUUAAGGCAGUUUGCCCUAUGGAAAGAAAGAUAUUGCUUGGCUCUAUUGUGUAAUGGAUGCCAAACAAAUAAAUGGAACUUUUCCUCCAGAAUUCGGCCGGGAUGCAAUUAUUUUUAAUGUGGUUCUUCAUAUGUUAGUUCUGUCUGGAAAACAUUAUGGUGUCAAAUGCAGUGAUUAGUAUGAAGGAUGCUUGCGGAUAAAUUUAGCAGGUUCUUAUGCAA
Molecule: RNA transcript, 1123 nt
Organism: Asparagus officinalis (garden asparagus)
Lineage: Eukaryota; Viridiplantae; Streptophyta; Magnoliopsida; Asparagales; Asparagaceae
Exons: 3
Source: RefSeq, a predicted model, not a curated record